Molecule: ribosomal RNA, 254 nt
Filed under: uncultured bacterium
Lineage: Bacteria
Description: partial 16S ribosomal RNA
Rfam family: Bacterial small subunit ribosomal RNA
Source: RNAcentral
UACGUAGGAGGCGAGCGUUGUCCGGAAUUACUGGGCGUAAAGAGCGCGUAGGCGGCGCGAUACGACCGAUGUGAAAGCCCCCGGCUCAACUGGGGAGGGUCAUCGGUAACGGUCGUGCUAUGAGUGCAGGAGAGGGAAGUGGAACUCCGGGAGUAGCGGUGAAAUGCUUAGAUAUGACAUAGAACACCCAUUGCGAAGGCAGCUCGCUACACUAUUAUUGACACUGAGGCACGAAAGCGUGGGGAUCAAACAGG